This 227-nucleotide ribosomal RNA is filed under the name Cryptosporidium sp. chipmunk genotype II. Its description in RNAcentral is "partial 18S small subunit ribosomal RNA". It matches the Rfam family "Eukaryotic small subunit ribosomal RNA", at positions 451 to 679 of the family's 1831-position model. The record is from RNAcentral. Lineage: Eukaryota; Apicomplexa; Conoidasida; Eucoccidiorida; Cryptosporidiidae.
UCCUAAUACAGGGAGGUAGUGACAAGAAAUAACAAUACAGGGCCUUUCGGCUUUGUAAUUGGAAUGAGUYGAGUAUAAACCCCUUUACAAGUAUCAAUUGGAGGGCAAGUCUGGUGCCAGCAGCCGCGGUAAUUCCAGCUCCAAUAGCGUAUAUUAAAGUUGUUGCAGUUAAAAAGCUCGUAGUUGGAUUUCUGCUAAUACUCUAUGUAAAUGCUUUGCCUUUACAU